CAUUUUUGCCAAUACAGCGAAAAUUCGCCUUAGAUACAGUGGGACCCUUUUACCAUGGCCUCCCUUAAAGUGAAGAUUUAAUACGACCACAGUCAUCAGACACGACAUGGAUACCAGCAACAUUGCACAGGUCCACGAUCUGUCGCAAAGCUAGUCCGAGCCGGACCUGGACUGUUGAUUCUGAAUCACAAACUGGCCUGACGUCGUUAUGGUAAUUUUGGAACAAGUUGUCUACUAGUGUUGAGAGAUUUGAUGCUUCUGAAAAUUCUACCAUACCAGACGAAAGUGAAUUUUUCUUGCAAAACAUUUUUGAUACCACAAUUAUAUAUUUGGAUUUUACUAGUUUCUGUCUAUUUUUUGUUAAGAUUUAAAUAAACUAUAGAUGGCAA
Long non-coding RNA from Ostrea edulis (European flat oyster), 389 nucleotides. RefSeq lists it as uncharacterized. The transcript has 2 exons. The record is from RefSeq and is a predicted model, not a curated record. NCBI's taxonomy places the organism in Eukaryota, Metazoa, Mollusca, Bivalvia, Ostreida, Ostreidae.